CACAAAACUGAGAAGCACAAAAACAAAACUGAGAAUCACAAAAUUAAAUUAAGAAGCACAAAAACAAAAUUGAGAAGCACAAAACAAAACUGAGAAUCACAAAAUCAAAUUAAGAAGCACAAAAACAAAAUUGAGAAGCACAAAACAAAACUGAAAAUCACAAAAUCAAAUUAAGAAGCACAAAAACAAAACUGAGAAGCACAAAAACAAAACUGAGAAUCACAAAAACAAAACUGAGAAUCACAAAAUUAAAUUAAGAAGCACAAAAACAAAAUUGAGAAGCACAAAACAAAACUGAGAAUCACAAAAUCAAAUUAAGAAGCACAAAAACAAAAUUGAGAAGCACAAAAACAAAAGAAGAAUCACAAAAACAAAUUGAGAAGCACAAUUACAUUAAGAAAACCGGAAAGGGUAGGUACCAGUCGGCAACAGGAGACAUCACUGAUUGGAUGUCCGCGCUGUUCGUCUUUGGAACCGGAAGUUACUCUGUGGCGCAUUUCGUUUGAAGAAGAACGGCGGAAUGUUUUGUCCUAGCUGUGGGAAAAAGCUGGUUGAGGAGUCACCGAACUUUUGCAGCGGCUGUGGCGAGAGGCUUCAUCACGCAUCUUGCAUCGGAGACACUUCACUCCCAUCGAAUAAAUGUCGGCUUGAUGACCAUUAAAAAGGGUGGUUUGAAGGCAUACCGUGGAAAAACUAUUUUCCUAACAACAGACCCUGACGCUACUGCCACAAGUCUGCUCAAUCAAGCUGUUAAAAAAAAUGAAGGACUUUAACAAAGAUCUAAAAGAUGGACCUUUCCUUCUUCUGUAUCCGGAUGGCACUGAGGUCAUUACUGUCCCUGGAACACAAAGACCAUUUACACUUGAGGCUUAUAAGGCUGAAGUUGGCAAGCCUUAUCAAAGAAUCACUGUUUUCAUCUGCUUGAAGAGUGACUUUGAGGAUGAUGCCACCUGUCCCUCCCACUACCACCACCUGGCAUGGAGGGUGAAGUGUCUUGCCCAAGGACACAACGACUGUGACAGACUGAGCAGGGCUCAAACCUUCAACCUUUUGAUUACAGGGCGGGCUUUUAACUCCUCUGCCACCAUUGCUCCCUAAAUUAGCUUGUAUAUGUUAUGUUUCUUCCUGGAAACAUGAAAUUCAGCCAUUUUUGGAUCUACUGAGUCAUGAGUUUUCAAUGCUAACUUUAUGCCUUUCGUCUUAAUCUAUUAUUGAUGAUCAAAUAAAGUUUCAUACAUUAGUAUGAAUUUAGUUAGCUUAGCUUGAUUUGUUUUCAUGUAUUGUAGUUGGAGAAAACUCAGACUUGUCUGACUCUGACCCAGAGAUUGUUAUUAAAAGGCCCUCUGAGUUUGAUCUUGCUGAUACACUGGUAAGUACAAUUUAAAAAAUUUUAUAGAGUUUUCUUGUUGUUUAGCCACCACCAUUUGCCUCAGUUCAGUAAAACAGUUAAUAGUUAUAUGUGAAAUACAUUUUGUGUGUGUGUGCGUGCUUGCGUGCGCGUGUUUGUUUGUUUGCUUGUUUAUUUGUUUCAGCCAUGGGAAUUCCAACAUGAAAGCAGUCCUUUACAGAAAGCGGCAGAAUAUGAGAAGGGUGCUGGGGAUCUUGUGCUUGCUAAUGAAGUACAACAGGUCAUAGAUUUGGAAGAAGAAAACGAUACAGGCACUACUGAAUGCCUCACUGUGGAGAGCUCCUGUUACAGAAACUACACACAGCUGUUUGAUCCGAUUGUGAUUGAUGAUGAAGAUCCUACUCCUAACGAAGCCAAAGCUGAGCCCCCAGAAGAACCUGUAGACCCCAAUUUGCAGGCACAUGAAAUUAUUGCAAAUUUGACACUGGAACUUGACCACAAGAAGGUCAGCAGGUUCAAUAUAUCAAGGUCAGCUGUAUGGGAUGGAGCUGUUAGAUGAAAUCCAUCAUCAUCAAGUUUAAUGAUGAUGCUGGCAGCUUUGAAGAAGGUUUGGAUACAGGUGGCCCGAGGCGUGAAUUCCUCACACUUCUUAUGGGCAGUCUGAGAAAUCGCCCAUCUUUGAUGGACCUCCAGAAACCGUUAUCUUGUAUAUAAUUCAAGAGGUGGAUGUUUUCUCCGUAAUUAUUACAAUGAAAAUUUUAAUAAAAAUUGGCUUAUUUUUUUCAUUAGCAUAUUUAAUAGCAAUUAAC
This is a long non-coding RNA of Oreochromis aureus, 2157 nucleotides long. NCBI's taxonomy places the organism in Eukaryota, Metazoa, Chordata, Actinopteri, Cichliformes, Cichlidae. The record is from Ensembl.